UUGUUGACUCCAGCAUAAUCAUAUAUAAAAUGAUGAAUCCAGCGUAAAAGAAUGACUUUUAUUCUUGUCCAGUAUGGCAUAUAUAUAUAUAUAUCUCAAUAAAUAACGCAUGCAAAUAUCAGCAAUAACAUAGUAUAACCAUAAAUUGUAAUAGUAAGAUGCUGGCCUUCCGAACCCCAGAUGUAACUUAUAUAUACAGAUUUACAAGACUUUAUCCUAUCAAUCAUACAAUAAUGAGAGAAUGAAAUAUACUUAUUUCAUUAAAUUACGAUAUAGAAAGUUGUCAACGUGGUGGGACAUCGUAUCUUUACAUCUUUAAUAAUUUGUAUAAUUUGCCAAAAACUGCUAUUAGAAAUUGUAAACAUUGAACUGGUUCCUCAUCUUGUCU
This 388-nucleotide long non-coding RNA is filed under the name Mytilus galloprovincialis (Mediterranean mussel). The record is from RNAcentral. Lineage: Eukaryota; Metazoa; Mollusca; Bivalvia; Mytilida; Mytilidae.